CCUACGGGCGGCAGCAGUGAGGAAUAUUGGUCAAUGGGCGGAAGCCUGAACCAGCCAAGUCGCGUGAGGGAAUAAGGCCCUACGGGUCGUAAACCUCUUUUGCCGGGGAGCAAGGGCGGGGACGUGUCCCGGCCCGGAGAGUACCCGGAGAAAAAGCAUCGGCUAACUCCGUGCCAGCAGCCGCGGUAAUACGGGGGAUGCGAGCGUUAUCCGGAUUUAUUGGGUUAAAUGGGUGCGUAGGCGGGCUUUUAAGUCAGCGGGAAACAUUCGGGGCUCAACCGCGUCCGGCCGUUGAAACUGGGGGCCUUGAGUGAGCGAGAAGAAGGCGGAAUGCGUGGUGUAGCAGUGAAAUGCAUAGAUAUCGCGCAGAACCCCGAUUGCGAAGGCAGUCUUCCGGCGCCCUACUGACGCUGAGGCACGAAGGUGCGGGGAUCGAACGGGAUUAGAUACCCUAGUAGUC
RNAcentral lists this ribosomal RNA (460 nucleotides) under uncultured bacterium. Its description in RNAcentral is "partial 16S ribosomal RNA". It matches the Rfam family "Bacterial small subunit ribosomal RNA", at positions 338 to 795 of the family's 1533-position model. The record is from RNAcentral.